AUACGUAGGGGGCAAGCGUUAUCCGGAUUUACUGGGUGUAAAGGGAGCGCAGGCGGUCUGAUAAGUCAGAUGUGAAAGGCAAUGGCUCAACCAUUGUAAGCAUUUGAAACUGUCAGACUUGAGUUAAGGAGAGAAAAGUGGAAUUCCUAGUGUAGCGGGGAAAUGCGUAGAUAUUAGGAGGAAUACCAGUGGCGAAGGCGACUUUCUGGACUUAUACUGACGCUGAGGAACGAAAGCGUGGGGAGCAAACAGGAUUAGAUACCCUGGUAGUCCACGCCGUAAACGAUGAGUGCUAGGUGUUGGGGGUCAAACCUCGGUGCCGCAGCUAACGCAUUAAGCACUCCGCCUGGGGAGUACGUACGCAAGUAUGAAACUCAAAUGAAUUGACGGGG
RNAcentral lists this ribosomal RNA (392 nucleotides) under uncultured bacterium. RNAcentral describes it as "partial 16S ribosomal RNA". It matches the Rfam family "Bacterial small subunit ribosomal RNA", at positions 523 to 918 of the family's 1533-position model. The record is from RNAcentral.